CAUCCUGCCCAAUGAUUAUUUAAAUGGCUGCAGUAUCUUGACUGUGCAAAGGUAGCAUAAUAAUUAGUCUUUUAAUUGAAGGCUUGAAUGAAUGGUUAUAUGAGAAGUCUAUUUUAUUAUUUUUAAUAUUUGAAUUUGAUAUUUAAGUAAAAAAGCUUAAUAUUAUAUUUGGGACGAUAAGACCCUAUAGAACUUUAUUUUUUUUUUAAUUUAAUCUAUUUUAGUAAUUAUUAUAUUUUAUUUAAUUUAAAUUUUUUGUUGGGGAGAUAAAUAAAUAUUAACUUUAUUUUUUAUUAUCAUUUUAUUAGNGUUUUUUUGAUCCAUUUUAUUGAUUUUAANAUUAAGUUACCUUAGGGAUAACAGCGUAAUUUAAAUGGGGAGUUCAUAUUUAUAUUUAAGUUUGCGACCUCNAUGUUGAAUUAANAUAAGGUUAAGGGGNAG
This 441-nucleotide ribosomal RNA is filed under the name Dilobopterus costalimai. RNAcentral's name for it is "partial large subunit ribosomal RNA". Lineage: Eukaryota; Metazoa; Arthropoda; Insecta; Hemiptera; Cicadellidae. The record is from RNAcentral.